GGCAUUGCCCCUCUCUGAGCAAAUGAAUCUCACGAUUCCACCUUUUUGACUGUCAAUACCAAGGCACCAACCAGUUUUAUUGAGUAUUACGCAAGCCUCUUUCGUAGCCCCAAUUGCUUGGGACGUUGUUAUCCCAUCUCAAAGGUAGGUUAUCAAUGCAUUACUCACCCUUACGCCACUCGAUUUGUACCCCUUUCGGAGUACUCCCCUCGUUCGACUUGCAUGCCUAAUC
This 232-nucleotide ribosomal RNA is filed under the name uncultured bacterium. RNAcentral's name for it is "16S ribosomal RNA". The record is from RNAcentral.